Molecule: ribosomal RNA, 460 nt
Filed under: uncultured bacterium
Lineage: Bacteria
Description: partial 16S ribosomal RNA
Rfam family: Bacterial small subunit ribosomal RNA
Source: RNAcentral
CCUACGGGUGGCAGCAGUGAGGAAUAUUGGUCAAUGGCCGGAAGGCUGAACCAGCCAUGCCGCGUGAAGGUCAGUGCCCUAUGGGCGUUAAACUUCUUUUGUGCGGGAGCAAUAAUGGUCACGUGUGGCCAGACGAGAGUACCGUACGAAUAAGCAUCGGCUAACUCCGUGCCAGCAGCCGCGGUAAUACGGGAGAUGCAAGCGUUAUCCGGAUGUAUUGGGUUUAAAGGGUGCGUAGGCUGGGAGGUAAGGCAGCGGUGAAAUGCCCCCGCUCAACGGGGUGAAGUGCCAUUGAUACUGCCUUGCUGGAGUGCGGAUGCCGUAGGAGGAAUGUGUGGUGUAGCGGUGAAAUGCAUAGAUAUCACACAGAACACCGAUUGCGAAGGCAGCUCACGAAUCCGCGAUUGACGCUGAUGCACGAAAGCGUGGGUAUCAAACAGGAUUAGAUACCCUGGUAGUC